UACGUAGGGUGCGAGCGUUAAUCGGAAUUACUGGGCGUAAAGCGUGCGCAGGCGGUUAUGUAAGACAAGUGUGAAAUCCCCGGGCUUAACCUGGGAACUGCAUUUGUGACUGCAUAGCUAGAGUACGGUAGAGGGGGAUGGAAUUCCGCGUGUAGCAGUGAAAUGCGUAGAUAUGCGGAGGAACACCGAUGGCGAAGGCAAUCCCCUGGACCUGUACUGACGCUCAUGCACGAAAGCGUGGGGAGCAAACAGG
RNAcentral lists this ribosomal RNA (253 nucleotides) under uncultured bacterium. RNAcentral describes it as "partial 16S ribosomal RNA". It matches the Rfam family "Bacterial small subunit ribosomal RNA", at positions 524 to 776 of the family's 1533-position model. The record is from RNAcentral.